This is a non-coding RNA of Mycena filopes, 96 nucleotides long. NCBI's taxonomy places the organism in Eukaryota, Fungi, Basidiomycota, Agaricomycetes, Agaricales, Mycenaceae. The record is from the annotation of a GenBank genome assembly.
AGCAGCAUGGUGUAUGGAUGCACGCGGGGCCUUACUGGGCAAAAUUGCGCUCGUCGGUACAACCCCGAGGUCCCUGUUCGAACCAGGGUGCUGCUC